This 247-nucleotide ribosomal RNA is filed under the name uncultured bacterium. RNAcentral describes it as "partial 16S ribosomal RNA". It matches the Rfam family "Bacterial small subunit ribosomal RNA", at positions 57 to 305 of the family's 1533-position model. The record is from RNAcentral.
GCAAGUCGAGGGGUAGAGUUAGCUUGCUAACUUGAGACCGGCGCACGGGUGCGUAACGCGUAUGCAAUCUACCUUGUUCAAAGGGAUAGCCCAGAGAAAUUUGGAUUAAUACCUUAUAGUAUUAUAAAGUGGCAUCAUUUAAUAAUUAAAGAUUUAUCGGAACAAGAUGAGCAUGCGUCCCAUUAGCUAGUUGGUAUGGUAACGGCAUACCAAGGCAAUGAUGGGUAGGGGUCCUGAGAGGGAGAUC